RNAcentral lists this ribosomal RNA (511 nucleotides) under uncultured Glomus. RNAcentral describes it as "SSU rRNA". It matches the Rfam family "Eukaryotic small subunit ribosomal RNA", at positions 569 to 1081 of the family's 1831-position model. The record is from RNAcentral. Lineage: Eukaryota; Fungi; Glomeromycota; Glomeromycetes; Glomerales; Glomeraceae.
AGCAGCCGCGGUAAUUCCAGCUCCAAUAGCGUAUAUUAAAGUUGUUGCAGUUAAAAAGCUCGUAGUUGAAUUUCGGGGUUAGUAGGUUGGUCAUGCCUCUGGUAUGUACUGGUCUCACUGAUUCCUCCUUCCUGAUGAACCUUAAUGCCAUUUAUUUGGUGUUUUGGGGAAUUUGGACUGUUACUUUGAAAAAAUUAGAGUGUUUAAAGCAAGCUAACGCUUGAAUACAUUAGCAUGGAAUAAUGAAAUAGGACGUUCGAUCCUAUUUUGUUGGUUUCUAGGAUUGACGUAAUGAUUAAUAGGGAUAGUUGGGGGCAUUAGUAUUCAAUUGUCAGAGGUGAAAUUCUUGGAUUUAUUGAAGACUAACUACUGCGAAAGCAUUUGCCAAGGAUGUUUUCAUUAAUCAAGAACGAAAGUUAGGGGAUCGAAGACGAUCAGAUACCGUCGUAGUCUUAACCAUAAACUAUGCCGACUAGGGAUCGGAUGAUGUUAAUUUUUAAUGUACUCAUUC